GACAGUCAGUAGUUGGUCUGGUGUGAGCAGGAAUUCUCAGAUCACCUCUUGGCUGUGAG
MicroRNA precursor from Monodelphis domestica (gray short-tailed opossum), 59 nucleotides. Ensembl annotates it as mdo-mir-2970. Lineage: Eukaryota; Metazoa; Chordata; Mammalia; Didelphimorphia; Didelphidae. The record is from Ensembl.